AUGACUCUCACAGCACCGCCGCAACUGUACUUCGGUCCCGCCGCACUUGGACCUUACCCUAUAUGGUUGCCAAGAAUCAGAUUCCGGGGAGAUGGUGGUUGGACCAGCUAGAGGAAUUAUCUUUGAAGAAACUGGUAAGGAGUUAUCCAAAACUAGCUGCUGGUGGGAGAGGCUGAGGUUGCCAAACCAGAAUGAAGGUCAAGCAAAUGCUUCACCAAGCCAUAGAUCUGUUGUACUCUAAUGGACCAACUUCUGUUGAUGAUUACACUCGUCUUGUGCUUCAUUGUGCUCGAGCCAAUGACUUCAUUCAAGCAAAGCGACUGCAGUCUCACAUGGAACUUCACCUUUUUCAACCCAAAGACUCCUUCAUCCACAACCAACUCAUCCAUUUGUAUGUCAAAUUGGGCAAGCUCGCAGAUGCUCAAAACGUGUUUGAUAACAUGACUAAGAGAGAUGUUUAUUCUUGGAAUGCCUUGCUUUCUGCUUAUGCUAAGAUGGGCAUGGUUGAGAAUUUAAAUGUUGUCUUUGAUCGAAUGCCUUAUCGCAAUUCUAUUUCAUAUAACAAAUUAAUUGCAUAUUUUGCUAGUAAUGGACAUUCAGGCAAAGCAUUAGAAGUUCUUAUGAGAAUGCAGGAAGAGGGGUUUCAGCCUACCCAUCACUCCUAUGUGAAGGCAUUGCAAGCAUGUUCUCAGCUUUUGGAUUUGAGGCAUGGGAAACAAAUUCAUGGGAAGAUUGUUGUUACUGAUUUGGAAGGAAAUACUUUUGUAAGGAAUGCUGUGACUGAUAUGUAUGCCAGAUGUGGUGAUAUAGAUAGGGCACGGUGGUUGUUUGAUCGAAUGAUUAAUAAAAAUGUUGUUUCAUGGAAUUUGAUGAUCUCUCGGUAUGUAAAAUUGGGAAAACCUGAUGAGUGCAUACAUUUGUUUGAUGAAAUGCAGUUGUCAGCUUUGAAACCUGACGUAGUUACAGUUUCAAAUGUUCUCAACGCUUACUUUCAAUGUGGACGUGUAGAAGAUGCGAGAAAUAUAUUUAGCAAAUUACCGAAAAAAGAUGAAAUUUGUUGGACAACCAUGAUAGUUGGUUAUACUCAAAAUGGAAGAGAGGAGGAUGCUUUGAUGUUGUUUGGGGACAUGCUAAGUAGAAAUGUUAAACUUGACUGUUACACCAUUUCUAGUGUGAUUUGCUCCUGUGCUAAACUAGCUUCUUUGUACCAUGGUCAAGUUGUCCAUGGAAAAGUAAUUUUAGUGGGCGUUGAGAAUGACAUGCUUGUAUCAAGUGCUCUUGUUGAUAUGUACUCCAAAUGUGGAAUCACUUUGGAUGCCUGGGUCGUUUUUGAAACUAUGCCUAUUAGGAAUGUGAUCACUUGGAAUGCCAUGAUUCUGGGUUAUGCACAAAAUGGACAGGUUCCCGAGGCCUUGGCUUUGUAUGAAAGAAUGCAACAAGAAAAUUUCAAACCUGAUAAUAUUACUUUUGUGGCUGUCUUAUCUGCUUGUAUCAAUGCUGAUAUGGUAAAAGAAGGACAGAAAUAUUUUAAUUCUAUUAGUGCACAAGGAAUGACACCCACAUUGGAUCACUAUGCAUGUAUGGUUACUCUCCUUGGUAGGUCAGGUAGAAUUGAUAAAGCAGUGGAUCUAAUUCAAGGUAUGCCUCACGAACCAAGUUGCCGUAUUUGGUCCACCUUACUAUCUGUUUGUACCAAAGCUGACCUAAAGAGUGCAGAGUUGGCAGCUAAUCAUCUCUUUAAAUUGGAUCCACAUAAUGCUGGACCUUACAUAAUGCUUUCCAACUUGUAUGCUGCAUGCGGGAGAUGGAAAGAUGUAGCUGUUGUAAGAUCUCUCAUGAAGGAAAAGAGUGCAAAGAAGCUUGCGGCCUACAGUUGGGUUGAGGUUGGGAAUGAAGUCCACAGAUUUGUUUCAGAAGAUCACUCUCAUCCAGAAGUGGGAAAAAUCUAUGGAGAGUUGAAGAGAUUGAUCUCAAUAUUGCAACAAAUUGGUUAUAAUCCUGAUAUAAACAUUGUCCUACACAAUGUGGGAGAGGACGAAAAAUUUAGAUCCAUUUCCUACCAUAGUGAGAAACUUGCCCUUGCAUUUGCUUUAAUUAGAAAGCCCAAUGGGAUUGCACCAAUACGGAUCAUAAAGAACAUACGUGUCUGUGAUGACUGCCAUGUAUUUAUGAAGUUUGCAUCAGUUACUAUAAGGCGUCCAAUCGUUAUGAGAGAUUCAAACAGGUUUCAUCAUUUCUUUGAUGGGAAGUGUUCUUGCAAGGACAAUUGGUUAUGAAACAGGGGAGAAAGCUAUUAUACGGUUCAAGACUUCCUAGUAUUAAAGCAGGUGUGUUGCAAAAGAAUACUAGGUGAGAAGUACAAGAGUACCUCAAUGAAAAUUCCGUGGCAGCAAUGCAAUUUAAGAUGUUUUGGACUAUAUGAGACAAUUGCAGGGAAAUUGGGGCUAAAUAUUGUUUGUGACUUAUGCUAUUCAAUAUUUUGGUAGAUGCAAUUUAUACCUUCAGGGAUGAACAUAACAGUUAGCACCACCUGAAUGCGAUUGGAUCUUAAAUCUUAAGUUGUCAUCUCUAUUAUCAAUGCAUGAAUUCAUUGAUACGCCUGCAUUCGUAAUCUCCACCAAGGGUUCUAUGCAUUUGACUUUUGCGAUAGGCCCUGUCCCUGUCAACUAAGAUGUGGUCCAGGAAGCUCUUUUAGGGGUAAGUACUGUUUAAAUUGGUUUCAAUUUUGAGUAUCAUUCUUAUAUAAUUAUUGCUUCAUUAUUCUUGUGAAAGUUAAAAUGCAUGCUGUGGUCUAGCAUGAUUAUAUGAUAAGGUUCAAGACCCAAUGAAGCCAUAGUAAAUCAAAAUUAGUUUUAUAAGAAAUUUUAUCUUACACCAAAUAAAUAAUCUCAUGAUUGUCAUGUUAAUAAAUAAUUUUUAUAUAAAUUAUAUUGUAGUGAUUUAUUA
RNA transcript from Vigna radiata var. radiata (mung bean), 2946 nucleotides. It is a transcript of the gene named pentatricopeptide repeat-containing protein At5g04780, mitochondrial-like, with no coding region annotated. The transcript has 5 exons. The record is from RefSeq and is a predicted model, not a curated record. Lineage: Eukaryota; Viridiplantae; Streptophyta; Magnoliopsida; Fabales; Fabaceae.